This 250-nucleotide ribosomal RNA is filed under the name uncultured bacterium. RNAcentral's name for it is "partial 16S ribosomal RNA". It matches the Rfam family "Bacterial small subunit ribosomal RNA", at positions 524 to 773 of the family's 1533-position model. The record is from RNAcentral.
UACGUAGGGGCCAAGCGUUAUCCGGAUUUACUGGGCGUAAAGCGCAUGUAGGCGGUCUGUCAAGUCAGACGUGAAAGCUCCCGGCUUAACUGGGGGAGGUCGUUUGAAACUGACAGACUAGAGGGUGGUAGAGGAGAGCGGAAUUCCAGGUGUAGCGGUGAAAUGCGUAGAUAUCUGGAGGAACACCAGUGGCGAAAGCGGCUCUCUGGCCCACUCCUGACGCUGAGAUGCGAAAGCCAGGGGAGAGAAC